CUGCGCCACAAGUGGGAAUCAUAUUUAUUGGGCCUAAAGCAUCCGUAGCCGGCGCUGUAAGUUUUCGGUUAAAUCUGUACGCUCAACGUACAGGCUGCCGGGAAUACUGCAGCGCUAGGGAGUGGGAGAGGUAGACGGUACUCGGUAGGAAGGGGUAAAAUCCUUUGAUCUAUUGAUGACCACCUGUGGCGAAGGCGGUCUACCAGAACACGUCCGACGGUGAGGGAUGAAAGCUGGGGGAGCAAACCGGAUUAGAGACCCGAGUAGUCC
This 270-nucleotide ribosomal RNA is filed under the name uncultured archaeon. Its description in RNAcentral is "partial 16S ribosomal RNA". It matches the Rfam family "Archaeal small subunit ribosomal RNA", at positions 477 to 747 of the family's 1478-position model. The record is from RNAcentral.